This 131-nucleotide small nuclear RNA is filed under the name Ethobunus zalmoxiformis. RNAcentral describes it as "partial U2 snRNA". It matches the Rfam family "U2 spliceosomal RNA", at positions 25 to 155 of the family's 192-position model. Rfam says of the family: U2 is a small nuclear RNA (snRNA) component of the spliceosome (involved in pre-mRNA splicing). Complementary binding between U2 snRNA (in an area lying towards the 5' end but 3' to hairpin I) and the branchpoint sequence (BPS) of the intron results the bulging out of an unpaired adenosine, on the BPS, which initiates a nucleophilic attack at the intronic 5' splice site, thus starting the first of two transesterification reactions that mediate splicing. Lineage: Eukaryota; Metazoa; Arthropoda; Arachnida; Opiliones; Zalmoxidae. The record is from RNAcentral.
GAUCAAAGUGUAGUAUCUGUUCUUAUCAGCUUAAUAUCUGAUACGACCUUCAACGAAGGUCAAGAUAUUAAACUUGUUUUUGAAAUGGGGCGGAGAGCUUGAAGCUUGCUUCACCUCUGCCACGGGUUGAC